Molecule: microRNA, 21 nt
Filed under: Corchorus capsularis
Lineage: Eukaryota; Viridiplantae; Streptophyta; Magnoliopsida; Malvales; Malvaceae
Description: sRNA CCACVL1_04854
Source: RNAcentral
UUUGGGACAGAGGGAGUAAUA